This 454-nucleotide ribosomal RNA is filed under the name uncultured Anaerolineaceae bacterium. RNAcentral's name for it is "bacterial SSU rRNA". It matches the Rfam family "Bacterial small subunit ribosomal RNA", at positions 916 to 1381 of the family's 1533-position model. The record is from RNAcentral. Lineage: Bacteria; Bacillati; Chloroflexota; Anaerolineae; Anaerolineales; Anaerolineaceae.
GACGGGACCCGCACAAGCAGCGGAGCGUGUGGUUUAAUUCGUUGCUACACGAAGAACCUUACCUGGGUUUGACAUAUAGGUUGUAGGGAACUGAAAAGGGACCGACCCUUCGGGAGCCUAUACAGGUGUUGCAUGGCUGUCGUCAGCUCGUGUCGUGAGAUGUUCGGUUAAGUCCGCUAACGAGCGCAACCCUCGUCGUAUGUUAUAUGUGUCAUACGAGACUGCCGGUAAAAGCCGGAGGAAGGUGAGGAUGAUGUCAAGUCAGCAUGACCUUUAUAUCCAGGGCUACACACACGCUACAAUGGUCUGUACAAUGGGUAGCCAAGCCGCGAGGCGGAGCCAAUCCUGAAAGCAGGCCUCAGUUCAGAUUGCAGUCUGCAACUCGACUGCAUGAAGCCGGAGUUGCUAGUAACCGCAGGUCAGCAAUACUGCGGUGAAUACGUUCCCGGGUCUU